This 2904-nucleotide ribosomal RNA is filed under the name Clostridium perfringens. RNAcentral's name for it is "23S ribosomal RNA". It matches the Rfam family "Bacterial large subunit ribosomal RNA". Lineage: Bacteria; Bacillati; Bacillota; Clostridia; Eubacteriales; Clostridiaceae. The record is from RNAcentral.
GGUCAAGCUACAAAGGGCGCAUGGUGAAUGCCUUGGCAUCAGGAGCCGAUGAAGGACGUGAUAAGCUGCGAUAAGCUUCGGGUAGGCGCACAUAGCCUGAGAUCCGAAGAUUUCCGAAUGAGGAAACUCACAUGGGAAACCCCAUGUAUCAUUAAGUGAAUACAUAGCUUAAUGAAGGUAACCCAGGGAACUGAAACAUCUAAGUACCUGGAGGAAGAGAAAGAAAAAUCGAUUUUCUUAGUAGCGGCGAGCGAAAGGGAAAGAGCCCAAACCGGAAACUUGUUUCCGGGGUUGUGGACAUAACAUAAAAGUGGAGGCUAUUGUAACUGAAGAGAACUGGAAAGUUCCACCGUAGAAGGUAAUAGUCCUGUAAGUGAAACGAGAAGACCACGAGUUAUGAUCCAGAGUACCACGAGACACGUGAAACCUUGUGGGAAGCAGGGAGGACCACCUCCCAAGGCUAAAUACUACCUGAUGACCGAUAGUGAAGCAGUACCGUGAGGGAAAGGUGAAAAGAACCCCGGGAGGGGAGUGAAAUAGAACCUGAAACCGUGUGCCUACAACCGCUCAGAGCCCCUUAUGAGGGUGAUGAGGUGCUUUUUGUAGAACGAGCCAACGAGUUACGGUAUGUAGCAAGGUUAAGUACUUAAGGUACGGAGCCGAAGGGAAACCGAGUCUGAAUAGGGCGACUAGUUGCAUGCCGUAGACCCGAAACCGGGUGACCUAUCCAUGGCCAGGUUGAAGCGAGGGUAAAACCUCGUGGAGGACCGAACCACGUUGCUGUUGAAAAAGCAUGGGAUGAGCUGUGGAUAGCGGAGAAAUUCCAAUCGAACCCGGAGAUAGCUGGUUCUCUCCGAAAUAGCUUUAGGGCUAGCGUCGAGUAUGAGUAGUGGAGGUAGAGCACUGAAUGGGCUAGGGGGCAUAGCGCUUACCGAACCUUAUCAAACUCCGAAUGCCACAUACUUUGAGCUCGGCAGUCAGACUACGAAUGAUAAGAUCCGUGGUCAAAAGGGAAAAAGCCCAGAUCGUCAGCUAAGGUCCCAAAGUGUAAGUUAAGUGGGAAAGGAUGUGAGAUUUCUAAGACAACUAGGAUGUUGGCUUAGAAGCAGCCAUUCAUUAAAAGAGUGCGUAAUAGCUCACUAGUCGAGAGAUCUUGCGCCGAAAAUGUAACGGGGCUAAACUUACCACCGAAGCUACGGGCUUGAACUUAGUUCAAGCGGUAGGAGAGCGUCGUAACCGGGCUGAAGUCGUACCGUAAGGAGCGGUGGACUGGUUACGAGUGAGAAUGUUGGCAUCAGUAGCGAGAUGUGGGUGAGAAUCCCACAGGCCGAAAACCUAAGGUUUCCUCAGGAAGGUUCGUCCGCUGAGGGUUAGUCGGGACCUAAGCCGAGGCCGAAAGGCGUAGGUGAUGGACAACUGGUUGAUAUUCCAGUACCACUACCAUCGUUAUUAUCGAUGGCGUGACGCAGGAGGAUAGUGUGUGCUAGCUAUUGGAUGCUAGUCUAAGCGUUUAGGUAGUGAGAGUAGGCAAAUCCGCUCUCAUAAUGCUGAGGCGUGAUGGGGAAGGUUCCACGGAACCGAAGUACAUGAUUCCACGCUGCCAAGAAAAGCGUCUAGAGAGAGAAGUAGUGCCCGUACCGCAAACCGACACAGGUAGGUGAGGAGAGAAUCCUAAGGCCGGCGGAAGAAUUACAGUUAAGGAACUCGGCAAAUUGACCCCGUAAGUUCGCGAGAAGGGGUGCCUACGAGAGUAGGCCGCAGAGAAUAGGCCCAAGCAACUGUUUAGCAAAAACACAGGUCUCUGCUAAAGCGUAAGCUGAUGUAUAGGGGCUGACGCCUGCCCGGUGCUGGAAGGUUAAGGGGAACACUUAGCGCAAGCGAAGGUGUGAACUUAAGCCCCAGUAAACGGCGGCCGUAACUAUAACGGUCCUAAGGUAGCGAAAUUCCUUGUCAGGUAAGUUCUGACCCGCACGAAUGGCGUAAUGACUUGGGCACUGUCUCAACUGUAAAUCCGGCGAAGUUGUAGUGCGAGUGAAGAUGCUCGCUACCCGCGAUUGGACGGAAAGACCCCGUAGAGCUUUACUGUAGCUUAGCAUUGAGUUUUGGUAUUGUCUGUACAGGAUAGGUGGGAGACUAGGAAGCCAGGGCGUCAGCCUUGGUGGAGUCAACCUUGGGAUACCACCCUGACAGUACUGAAAUUCUAACUGGCGGCCAUGAAUCUGGUCACAGGACAUUGUUAGGUGGGCAGUUUGACUGGGGCGGUCGCCUCCUAAAAAGUAACGGAGGCGCCCAAAGGUUCCCUCAGAACGGUCGGAAAUCGUUCGAAGAGUGCAAAGGCAGAAGGGAGCCUGACUGCGACACCCACAAGUGGAGCAGGGACGAAAGUCGGGCUUAGUGAUCCGGUGGUACCUCGUGGGAGGGCCAUCGCUCAACGGAUAAAAGCUACCUCGGGGAUAACAGGCUGAUCUCCCCAAGAGUCCACAUCGACGGGGAGGUUUGGCACCUCGAUGUCGGCUCGUCGCAUCCUGGGGCUGAAGUAGGUCCCAAGGGUUGGGCUGUUCGCCCAUUAAAGCGGCACGCGAGCUGGGUUCAGAACGUCGUGAGACAGUUCGGUCCCUAUCCGUCGCGGGCGUAGGAAAUUUGAGAGGAGCUGUCCUUAGUACGAGAGGACCGGGAUGGACUGACCUCUGGUGUACCAGUUGUUCCGCCAGGAGCACAGCUGGGUAGCUAAGUCGGGAAUGGAUAAACGCUGAAAGCAUCUAAGCGUGAAGCCAACCUCAAGAUGAGAUUUCCCAUAGCGUAAGCUAGUAAGAUCCCUUGAAGAACACAAGGUUGAUAGGUCGGGGGUGUAAGCAUGGUAACAUGUUCAGCUGACCGAUACUAAUAGAUCGAGGGCUUGACCAA